UAAAAUAAAAUCAAAGGAACUUGUUUUUUAAUCGACAAUACUCGCUAAAUUUUACUAUGUUUAUUAAAGCUUAUAUACCUCCGUUUAAAAUUUUUUAACACAAUUUCUUACAACCCUAUUGUAACAUUUCAGGUCAAGGUGUAGCCCAUAACACAGAUAAAAUAAGUUACCUAUAAACACUAUUUAUAGAAAUACAUAAAAAUUAAAUAAAACAGGAUUUAAAUACAAUAAUAUAAUAAUAACACAUUAUGAAAAUCAUUUGAAC
RNAcentral lists this ribosomal RNA (265 nucleotides) under Harpactocrates cazorlensis. RNAcentral's name for it is "partial 12S ribosomal RNA". Lineage: Eukaryota; Metazoa; Arthropoda; Arachnida; Araneae; Dysderidae. The record is from RNAcentral.